AGCUCCAAUAGCGUAUAUUAAAGUUGUUGCAGUUAAAAAGCUCGUAGUUGAAAUUGGGCGCGGCUGGCCGGUCCGCCUCACGGCGCGAACUGGUCUUGGCCGUGCUUUCCUCUUGGGCCGCCCGAGAGCGCUUCAUUGUGCGCUCGGGAUGGCCCAGGACUUUUACUUUGAAAAAAUUAGAGUGUUCAAAGCAGGCAUUUGCUCGGAUACAUUAGCAUGGAAUAAUAGAAUAGGACGUCGAUCCUAUUU
RNAcentral lists this ribosomal RNA (249 nucleotides) under uncultured Ascomycota. RNAcentral's name for it is "partial small subunit ribosomal RNA". It matches the Rfam family "Eukaryotic small subunit ribosomal RNA", at positions 587 to 841 of the family's 1831-position model. Lineage: Eukaryota; Fungi; Ascomycota. The record is from RNAcentral.